Molecule: unclassified non-coding RNA, 395 nt
Filed under: soil metagenome
Description: partial contains 5.8S ribosomal RNA, internal transcribed spacer 2, and large subunit ribosomal RNA
Rfam family: 5.8S ribosomal RNA (bases 1-122)
Source: RNAcentral
GAUGAAGAACGUAGUGAAAUGCGAUACUUGGUGUGAAUUGCAGAAUCCCGUGAACCAUCGAGUCUUUGAACGCAAGUUGCGCCCGAAGCCAUCAGGUUGAGGGCACGUCUGCCUGGGCGUCACAUAUCGUUGCCCAAUGCCUAUUGCAGUGCAAUAGGAAUUUCUAGGGCGAAUGAUGGCUUCCCGUGAGCGUUGUUGCCUCGCGGUUGGUUGAAAAUCGAGUCCUUGGUAGGGUGUGCCAUGGUAAAUGGUGGUCGAGUUAGAACGAUACCGAUCAUGUGCAUGCUCCCCAAAAUAUGGCCUCUAUGACCCACACGCGUCUUUUGACGCUCAUGACGAGACCUCAGGUCAGGCGGGGCUACCCGCUGAAUUUAAGCAUAUCAAUAAGCGGAGGA